CAACGUGUAGCUCAGUCAGUAGAGCACCGGGCUCCGGACCCGGAGGGCGCGGGGGCGGGACCCGCCACGUUGGC
Molecule: transfer RNA, 74 nt
Filed under: Embleya hyalina
Lineage: Bacteria; Bacillati; Actinomycetota; Actinomycetes; Kitasatosporales; Streptomycetaceae
Description: tRNA-Arg
Rfam family: tRNA
About the family: Transfer RNA (tRNA) molecules are approximately 80 nucleotides in length. Their secondary structure includes four short double-helical elements and three loops (D, anti-codon, and T loops).
Source: RNAcentral